UUAAAGUAGAGGUUGCGCGAAUGAAGAGUAGCGGAUCGGAUGCGGCGGCGCAGACGAAGAUCCGUAAAAGGCAAACGCGCCGAAGGAUGUGAGGACACCGCGAGUCACAGUCCUGGGCAUAGGGCGAACAGCUUUAUGACUGUCAUCCAAAGACGGAUGGGGCGCUGCUUAA
This 172-nucleotide non-coding RNA is filed under the name bovine gut metagenome. RNAcentral describes it as "Lysine riboswitch". It matches the Rfam family "Lysine riboswitch aptamer". From Rfam's summary of the family: Riboswitches are metabolite binding domains within certain messenger RNAs that serve as precision sensors for their corresponding targets. Allosteric rearrangement of mRNA structure is mediated by ligand binding, and this results in modulation of gene expression. The record is from RNAcentral.